AUUUAAGCGUGUCCCAGCCUGACAAGAAGGUCCAUAUGGUCUUUCAGUGAGGCGCGUGGAGCGGUGAUUUAUGACUGUCACCAGCCCAGCGCUGUCUCCGAGACAUUCAAGGACCGCGUGGGCUGGACACUCACCUUCGGUGGCAGGGCCACCGAGUCACACUCCACUCUCAGCUGCAGAGAGUUCCUGACCAGAUGACGCCAACAACUGUAAGGUCCUUGGGAAAGAGCCGCCAUAUUGUGACGAUACUCAAGAGCCCCAUGGAAAAUUCCACAUGAAGAGGAACUGAGGCCUCCAGCCAACAGCCAGCAACUACUUGCUCACCACAUGAAUGAGCCAUCUUGGAAGCAGACUCUCCCACCCCAGUUAAGCCUUCAAAUGACUCUAGCCCUGCCAACAUCUUGACAAAAGGCUCAGGAGAGAUGCCAACCUAGAACCACCCAGCUAAGCUGCUCCUGAAUUUCCUGAAUCACAGAAACUAUGGGCAAUAACAAAUAGUUAUUAUUAUUUGAAUCCCUUAAGUUUUGAGGAAAUUUGUGAUGCAGCCAUAGAUAAUGAAUAAAAGGAGUUUCCGUUCAGGUAGACAUUCCUUGAGCUUUGAUCUUUACUUGACCCUAGGAAGCAGGUGUUUCACCGAGCCUCCCACCUUAUAGUCCUUUUCCCUGUACCUGCCUUGUCUUUUCCAUCUAGUUCUUCUUGUCUAUGCCACUUUACUUGUGAUUUUCUCUAUUUGGGGCCAUCUAGGGAUGUUUUUUAGAGCAAGAUGGUCAUGUUUAAUUUUUUAAGCCAAAAACAGCUGUAAUCGCCUUUUAAUUAUACAUACAGGAUAGAGACUGUGAUAUGGUUAGGCUGUGUCCCCACCCAAAUCCCAUCUUGAAUUGUAAUAAUCCCCAUGUGUCAAGGCAGGGCCAGGAGAAGAUAAUUGAAUCAUGGGGGCAGUUUCCCCCAUACUGUUCUCGUGAUAGUGAAUGCAUCUCACGAGUUCUGAGUAUUUUAUAAAGGGUAGUUCCCCUGCACAUGCUCUCUUGCCUGCCGCCAAGUAAGAUGUGACUUUGCUCCACAUUCGCCUUCUGCCAUGAUUGUGAGGCCUCCCCAACCAUAUGAAACUGUGAGUCAAUUAAAUCUCUUCCCUUUAUAAAUUAGUCUUGGGUAUGUCUUUAUUAUCAGUGUGAGAACAGACUAAUAAUACAGGCUGGAAGGGGCAAGGACAGAGAAAAGCUCAUAAUUAAACCUCUGAGUCAGAGAGGGGUACAUCCUGGCAGAAAGCCAAUUCCUAAACUGACCACUCCUUGUCUAACUUGGGCGUUAAGUAGGACUUUUUGUUAUUAAGAUGGUGAACUUUUAGAAUGUUAUUUUUAUCAUUUGCCUGCCAAAAUAGAUUCUAUCUUCUUGCCCCUUUGGGAUACAUCGUUGGAAUAAUGGCCUCCAAUUAAUUCAUGCCUGCCUGUACCCGUGCCCUGAGUAGCCCCCUCCUUGACUGAUUCUGGGCUUGGCCAUGUGUUUGACUUUGGCCAAUGAAAGAAUGGCAAGUGUGGCACCAUCAGAGGCUUCGAAAGUGCUUGUGUACUAGGAGCCCUGAAACUACCUUGAGAAGAAGCCCAGGUCACCUCCUGGAGGAUGAGAAGCAACAUGGAGCAGAGAUGGGCCAUCUCAGCUGCAAUUCUAGACCAACAAGCCUGCCACCUGCCAGAAGGCAAGCGAAGCCACCCCAGAGCCCCAGCGCCAGCCGAGCCAACAGCUUGCCAU
RNAcentral lists this long non-coding RNA (1746 nucleotides) under Homo sapiens (human). RNAcentral describes it as "HSALNT0245702". Lineage: Eukaryota; Metazoa; Chordata; Mammalia; Primates; Hominidae. The record is from RNAcentral.